UCAAAAACAUUGCCUUCUGAUAAAACUAUAAAAGGUCAAUCCUGCCCAGUGACUUGCGAGUUAAACGGCCGCGGUACCCUGACCGUGCUAAGGUAGCGUGAUAAAUUGCCCUUUAAUUGGGGGCCUGUACGAACGGAUAAACGAGAGUAAAGCUGUCUACUAUCAUAUAAAUAAAAAUUAUACCUUAGGUGAAAAUUCCUAAAUAAGAUCAUAGGACAAAAAGACCCCGUAGAGCUUUGGUAUAUUUUGACAAUUAAAAUAACUAUUAAUAAAUAACAAAAAUUUCAAAUACACCUUAACUGGGGCGGUUAUGGAAUAAAAAAUCUUCCAUUUUUACCAAAGAAAAUAAAUCUAAAAAAUUGACCCUUAAAAUAAGAUCAACAAAUAAGCUACCUCGGGGAUAACAGAUUAAUCUUCCUUAAGAGUCCAUAUUGACAGGAAGGUUUGACACCUCGAUGUUGGCUUAAGGUACCCAGAAAGGUAGCAGCAGCCCUCAAUGGUAGGUUUGUUCAACCUUUAAAACCUUACGUGAUCUGA
RNAcentral lists this ribosomal RNA (537 nucleotides) under Amphicteis gunneri. RNAcentral describes it as "partial 16S ribosomal RNA". It matches the Rfam family "Bacterial large subunit ribosomal RNA", at positions 1807 to 2608 of the family's 2925-position model. The record is from RNAcentral. Lineage: Eukaryota; Metazoa; Annelida; Polychaeta; Terebellida; Ampharetidae.